This 253-nucleotide ribosomal RNA is filed under the name uncultured bacterium. RNAcentral describes it as "partial 16S ribosomal RNA". It matches the Rfam family "Bacterial small subunit ribosomal RNA", at positions 524 to 776 of the family's 1533-position model. The record is from RNAcentral.
UACGUAGGGGGCAAGCGUUGUCCGGAAUCAUUGGGCGUAAAGAGCGCGUAGGCGGCCCUGUAAGUCCGCUGUGAAAGUCAAGGGCUCAACCCUUGAAUGCCGGUGGAUACUGCAGGGCUAGAGUCCGGAAGAGGCGAGUGGAAUUUCUGGUGUAGCGGUGAAAUGCGCAGAUAUCGGGAAGAACACCCGUGGCGAAGGCGGCUCUCUGGGACGGUACUGACGCUGAGACGCGAAAGCGUGGGGAGCGAACAGG